RNAcentral lists this non-coding RNA (47 nucleotides) under Schistosoma margrebowiei. The record is from RNAcentral. Lineage: Eukaryota; Metazoa; Platyhelminthes; Trematoda; Strigeidida; Schistosomatidae.
GCAUUGCUGAAGAGUCGCAACAAUAGGACGAAACGGGUGUCCAAUGC